RNAcentral lists this ribosomal RNA (158 nucleotides) under uncultured bacterium. RNAcentral describes it as "partial 16S ribosomal RNA". It matches the Rfam family "Bacterial small subunit ribosomal RNA", at positions 355 to 509 of the family's 1533-position model. The record is from RNAcentral.
UGAGGAAUAUUGGUCAAUGGGCGGAAGCCUGAACCAGCCAAGUCGCGUGAGGGAAGAAGGCCCUGCGGGUCGCAGACCCCUUUGGACGGGGAGCAAGGCCGCGGACGUGUCCGCGGAAGGAGAGUACCCGUAGAACAAGCAUCGGCUAACUCCGUGCC